GGAGCGGUAGUUCAGUUGGUGAGAGCAUCGGCCUGUCACGCCGAAGGUCGCGGGUUCGAGUCCCGUCCGCUCCG
This 74-nucleotide transfer RNA is filed under the name Candidatus Tremblayella princeps. RNAcentral's name for it is "Candidatus Tremblaya princeps tRNA". It matches the Rfam family "tRNA". From Rfam's summary of the family: Transfer RNA (tRNA) molecules are approximately 80 nucleotides in length. Their secondary structure includes four short double-helical elements and three loops (D, anti-codon, and T loops). The record is from Rfam by way of RNAcentral. Lineage: Bacteria; Pseudomonadati; Pseudomonadota; Betaproteobacteria.